Hyaena hyaena (striped hyena) is the source of this 109-nucleotide small nuclear RNA. NCBI's taxonomy places the organism in Eukaryota, Metazoa, Chordata, Mammalia, Carnivora, Hyaenidae. The record is from RefSeq and is a predicted model, not a curated record.
GUGCUCAUUUUGGCAGCACAUCUACUAAAAAUAGAACAAUACCGAAAAGAAUAGCACGGCGCUUGCCCAAGGAUGACCUGCAAGUUCAUGUGAACUGGCAGCUAAAAUU